UACGGAGGGUGCAAGCGUUAUCCGGAUUCACUGGGGUUAAAGGGUGCGUAGGCGGAUUGGUAAGUCCGUGGUGAAAUCCCCGAGCUUAACUUGGGAACUGCCGUGGAUACUAUCAGUCUUGAAUAUCGUGGAGGUAAGCGGAAUAUGUCAUGUAGCGGUGAAAUGCUUAGAUAUGACAUAGAACACCAAUUGCGUAGGCAGCUUACUACUCGAUCAUUGACGCUGAGGCACGAAAGCGUGGGGAGCAAACAGG
This 253-nucleotide ribosomal RNA is filed under the name uncultured bacterium. Its description in RNAcentral is "partial 16S ribosomal RNA". It matches the Rfam family "Bacterial small subunit ribosomal RNA", at positions 524 to 776 of the family's 1533-position model. The record is from RNAcentral.